CGCGUAGGUGGCCCGUUAAGUGGUCGGUGAAAUCCCGCGGCUCAACUGCGGGGCUGCCGAUCAGACUGGCGAGCUAGAGCACGGUAGGGGCAGAUGGAAUUCCCGGUGUAGCGGUGGAAUGCGUAGAUAUCGGGAAGAAUACCAGUGGCGAAGGCGUUCUGCUGGGCCGUUGCUGACACUGAGGCGCGACAGCGUGGGAGCAAACA
RNAcentral lists this ribosomal RNA (206 nucleotides) under uncultured bacterium. RNAcentral describes it as "partial 16S ribosomal RNA". It matches the Rfam family "Bacterial small subunit ribosomal RNA", at positions 568 to 774 of the family's 1533-position model. The record is from RNAcentral.